This 736-nucleotide unclassified non-coding RNA is filed under the name Sabia schumanniana subsp. pluriflora. Its description in RNAcentral is "partial contains small subunit ribosomal RNA, internal transcribed spacer 1, 5.8S ribosomal RNA, and internal transcribed spacer 2". The stretch from base 332 to 487 matches the Rfam family "5.8S ribosomal RNA". The record is from RNAcentral. Lineage: Eukaryota; Viridiplantae; Streptophyta; Magnoliopsida; Proteales; Sabiaceae.
GUAACAAGGUUUCCGUAGGUGAACCUGCGGAAGGAUCAUUGUCGAAGCCUGCUCAAUAGAACGACCCGUGAACUUGUCAUUUACUUUCCAGGGAGGCAACGCAUGGACAAUGCAAUGUCGUCCCUGCCUUGGGUUCACGCUCUACCGAUUUCCUGGUCUCGUGCCUUGUACGUAUGUGGCUUCGGUCAUCGGCAUGUGUUGUGGCACCCAAAUAAAACAAUCACCCCGGCGCGAUCGGCGCCAAGGAACAUAAACGAAAUUAACAUGCCCUUGCCACCGCCCCAAACACGGGGAGUGUGUGGUUGGGUGUCAUGUCUUCGAAUCUUAAAACGACUCUCGGCAACGGAUAUCUCGGCUCUCGCAUCGAUGAAGAACGUAGCGAAAUGCGAUACUUGGUGUGAAUUGCAGAAUCCCGUGAACCAUCGAGUCUUUGAACGCAAGUUGCGCCCUAGGCCUUAUGGUUGAGGGCACGUCUGCCUGGGCGUCACGCAUUGCGACACUCCGACCCAAAUGCUAGAUAUAACGUUUGGACACGGAGUGGAGAUUGGCUUCCCGUGCUCUCUAUUGCGCGGUUGGCCUAAAAGCUGGCCCUUGGUGGUGAGCCUCACGAUGAUUGGUGGUUGAUCAAAACCCCUUGCCAUUGCUGGACAUCGUGUUUGUUGCUGUGCCGUCCUCGGAGCUUUCGAUACCCCUAUCGGAGCGUUGUCGUAACGACGAUGCUCACACUGCGACCCCA